AGCUUGGAGGUGACUUGAAGGCCCUCCACUUGGGUGAAUCCCUUGUGUAAACAAGGAUGAGCUUCAAGGGUAAAGAAACUCUAAAUCUUUACUUCUCUUUAAUGUUGUUAAAGAGUUUAUUGGUUUACCAUAUACUAGGCUUUGAAAGUCAUGGGUUUUAUGAAUUGUUUUUGAAUGCAUGUCUACUUUAAAGUGUUAAUAGCUUGCAUAUGUAUUCAAAUGUUCAUACUUGUUCUUAGCUAGGACAAAUUUUUUCCUUCAAUUUCACCCUUAGACUAACGGCCAAUAUGAAUGAACUAUCUGGACCUUAGAGAACAUAUUGCUUUUGUAUGUUUUACAGUUUUAGCCUAUUAUGUUAGACACCUAUCUAUGCUUAUGUUGCGUACAACAAUAAUUAUUAUUUUCGUUUGGUUAUGGUAUUGUUUGAGCCUUGGUAUAGAGAUUCUAUGCACAAUACAUGAUUGAUAGAAGAGUAUUGCGAAAAGGUAUUCGAAUAAUCAAGAUUACGAUGUAAGAAAUUAUGUGCUAUUGACGAUGUCGCCUGAAAAGGUAGUGCGUGAGCAUGAUUGAGGCUUUGAUCAGUUGAUGUCUGUGUAUAUCCCAAUAAGGGGCAAGAUGGUAAUAUUUUACCCUCGGGAAUUUAUCAUUUGCUUAUUGAGACAACAAUGAGUUGUCGGUAUUGUGGGCUGCAAAUCGUAAUAUUGAUAACUUAUUUGUUGGAUUUGUUAAGCAAGUGGACAAUUAGGCCAUUUACGUUAGUUUAUUAUUUAUUGUUUGGGCUUGACCCAAAGAAUACUGCACUUAUUCUCAGAGUACGUGACGCUACGAGUGCGUACAACUAUCUCAAUUCUACAUUAUAUUAUAUAUGUAUUUUGACGAUAUGUUACUAUAUAUCUAUUUUUAACUUUAAGUUUUCAUAACAGAUUUUAUAUUUUAGUAUUGUAUUGAAGGAGGAGGAAAGUUUGAGUUUGGAGGCAUGAAAGAGGAAUCAUUGCAAUCUGAUUGCGACGGAAUAACAUUCUCUUUUAUGCAACCGCUCUAGCUCGAUUUCUUCUUUAUGUAUUUUCUAUCUAUCUUUCGGAGUAAUUUAUGUAUAGCAACGUAUUUCAAAUUUCAGGGCCGAAUUUUUUUUAAGAUGGGUAGAUUGUGACAACCCGUCCCUAAUUUUAUGAUUUUAUUGAUUUUAAAAGAGUGAAUUGACGAAAAUGCCCUUAAAGGCUAGAUUGUUGAUUUUUGUUGACCGUCUUUUCAUGAUGUGUAUUAGUUAUUAUUUUAUCAUAUUCUCAAAGAUGAAUCGAAAUUGGAGUUACAGUUAAAAUUUUACAAAAUAUCGUAUACUGAAGGCAAAUUGGUAAUUUCACAUUUAGAGAUAUUUUGUAUUGUUUUAUGAGACAUGUGGGGUCCACGUCCCAUUCUUUCACCUCUCUUGCGCCUCCCUAUCUCUCAAGACGCAUUCUCUCUCAUUUUUCAAACCUCCCUCAUUUUACUCCUCUACUCGAUGACUGCCACCUCACCUUUCCCUUUCAGCUCUUUCUCUUCUCCCGACUUUUCUUUCUCCCUUAACUCUCUCAUCUGUUUGCAACAUUGAACAGCCGGGAGGCGAGGCACCACUCACCACGACGGCAAGCCCACACCUUCACCAUACUUUUCUUUCUCUGUCAUUUGCUCCACCACCCUUUACCUCUUUUCAGCCUUCUCACCCUGCAAGCGCUGCAAGCGCAGAGUAACUACACACACCAUCAUCGCCACUCCAAGAGUUCUCUGACCACCAUCACACAUUUUUAGGCCCUGAAAUGAGGACAUGAACCGUGUAGGAACCCCAAACUCGAGGACCCUCGACCUCUGUAUGAACUCGAGACUUUCCCAAUGAAAAUCUGCUGUACACGGCCUUAGUAACUGUGAAUGAUCUUAGGGUUUAAAACUUGCUUUGGUAGGGUGUGGAGGCGGUUAGACGUCUGGGAAGCAAUUCCCCAGUUUUUGGCAAAGGAAACCGUGACUAAUGGACCACAUUUAUGGGAGAUUAUGUGAUUAUGGACAUCAUGCACUUAUUUACGAGAUAUUGUGCUGUAUUGAAUUCUUGAGAUAUUGCAGGCUACAGUAAGUAUUUUCUUACUAUACGUAGUAUGUAUAUUUUGGAAAUUAUACUUGUUUUACGGCGAGGGGUUAUAAUGUUUUCGAAAAGGUUUUUACAAAACUUUAUUUUUAGGCCCACUCACCCUUGUUUUUCACCCCUCAAGGUUUUAGCAGCUGAACUUUUGUAUCAACGAGGAUUGUUGACAAAUCUUGGUAUAGGUGGUUACCUUCGAUGGUAUAAUUCUCAUCCUACUUUACUACACUUUAUUUAUGCUUUGUCAUCACAUGCGAAAUGGGUUCAUUCCUGCUCACCAGCGCACUCUUAUAUUUAGACACUUUUAGGUUUAAAUUUAUUUACAUUUUCUACAUCACUACACUUUAUGGUUUCGUCACCCUCCGAGUGUGAACCAGCACAACUCGAUUUGGAGUCUAGUUGAACAUUUUAGGUCGGGGUGUGUCAAACUAGGAAGCCGUCUAGGUUGUCAAUUUUCAAAUUCUAGAUGCACAAAGUCAAAUCUAGAGGUCCCCACGCAGACCUCCUCUUCUACCCAAAAAUAACCAACAUACGUCUGUUUGUCUCUCUAUCAAACAAAAUAAGAUGAGAUGUGAGAUCACCGUUGACUGGAUUUUGGGGAAACUUCUGUUGUUGCUGUUAGAUUUUGACAGAGCUUAUGUUUCCGUCAAUCUCAUGUGGAAGAAAAGGAAAGGGAAAAGAGGUAGCGAUGGGGAAUUAGGGCGAGUGAAAGACUGGAAGAGAGAAGGUAGGGGAAGAUAGGAAAGUAGGAAUUUUCGUUUUUCCUUUCAGGAAUUUUUAAACUAAAUUAAUAAAUUUGUUUGUUGUAACUUAUAAUUGAAAUCCAAUUUUUAAUCAAUUAAUACUUUUUAAUUUGCUUUUUGUCCACGUGGCACAUAUUUGGCAUCCAAGUCAGCACAAAUGUGAAAUUCAUUGUUACCACUCAUCACUUAACAACUUAUUUAACAAAUUUUCUAAUGUUGUAUGAAAUUGAAAUAAAAUAUAACUAAAUGUAUGAGAUUGAAAUGUUUUAAAAAUGUUGUAUAAGGUUGCAAUUGCACCCAAACUUGAGAGAGUAAAAUGUAAUUUACUCUUAUAAAUUUAUACUCAUAUGAAAAGAAAUUUGUAAAAAUAAAAAAGUUAAAAAAAAAACACAUAAAGUGUUACCGAAGGCUUCCUUGUUAAUUUUAAACAGCAUAAGCCACCUCUUAUGGUUAAAGUUUUUUAUUAUUACCAAAUUUUAUAAAUCUAUACUUGUAUGAAAAGAAAUUUGUUAAAAUUGAAAACUAAAUAAAUACACAUAGUGUUUCGAACGCAAGACGUCCUCAUUAAUUUUGGACAACAAUGACCACCAAUUCUAGUUAAACUUCUUAAUAUUUUAACCAAAUUUUGUAAAAUUAUACUCUUAUGAAAACAUAUAUGAAUAUACCACCCUAAUUAUUUUGAUGCCCCCAAUUAUUUUGGGCCUCAAAUAGUCGCCCAACCUGCAUUGGGCCAAGAGCGGGCCUGUUGCUAAGAGAAUUUACUCCUAAACACAAGAUUUUGAAGUUUACACCUUGGAAAAACUUUGAUCACAAAUGCACUACAUAGACGUAUAACAUUUUUUAUCUUUCGAGAAAUAUAACACUUUGUUUUAAAGGAAAACUAAUGAAAAGGGCUUGAAAACUUUGAGUUUUAAUCAUAAGGACAAAAUAAAGGGUAAAGUGAAUAGUACCAGGAUUGACUUUUUAGUGUAAAAAUGUGGUUUUUCGUUAAAGUGAACAGUAUCAGGUGCUUUUCGUUAAAGUUCCCUUAAAAUUUCAAAAUAGAACAGAAACAGAAUAUUUCAUCAGACUAGAAUCAAAAUUAGGCUAAUUCAAACAUAAAUCUUCAUUUCGUAGACAUGGUGAUGCAGAACAUGAAAUAAAAAGAUGCAUUUAUUAUGGAGGACUUCCAGUACAUUUUUUGGCUGAUCAUAAUACUACCUUUAUGUAAUUUCAGUUUUCUGUCAUUUUAAUUAGGUUCUUUUUAUUUUCUGAAAAAGUUACAAAAUAGAACUCAGAGCGUUUCUCUAGAAGGUGGUAAGAUUUUGACGUUUUUGUUGAAUGAAAUAUUCAAAGCGUUUCUCUAUGCCAGUUUAGUGCCUUUCUCUUAUGAGAUUGUUUUAGUUUUGUUCUUUUAGUUGUCUAUGUGAGAUUAUUUCAGCUUUUGUUCUUCUAGUUGUCUACGUCGUAGGUUAGUACUAGAACUCAAGUUUAUAGGGUUUUCAAGUCUCUCCUUGCACUUGGACAUAGUGGACCCUAUAUACCUAUCAUUUUAUUUAAUUUUUAUUUUCUCACCACGUUGCGCCCUGGAUCAUUUAGUUAUCAGAGCUUGAGACGGUCUUAGGACUGGCACAUAAUCUUUGUUGAUCGUCAAAUCUGACUCAGUUUCCUUUACUUUUAAUUAGAGAGUUAUACAUCACUGGGAUGCUCUAGGUGUCUAGUUUUCAACGAAACAAACUGUGAAUCAAAUGGAUUUUUGUGUGAGCAGAUAUCAGCAAAACAUCACAGUGUCAAUGGUGUUGCAAAAAUAAUAUCAAUUCUAGUGCGGGCAAGGUUGUGUUCAUUCAGAAUUAUUCAACCUUCAUGCCAUGUAUUUAAAGCCUUUCCAGUCUAGUUUCCAAAUCUUCAAGUGGUUUUCUAGUCCAUUAUUUCUCAAAACGAUAUUAACAUUUUACGAAAGCAUGUCGCUAUUGCCAUUAACUAAGAAAUGGUUGCUUUAGAAUUUUCAAGUAACAACUUCAUAAAUUUUUAUCUUCCUCCAAAGUUCGAUAGUUGUCCAGGUAGUUCUUGUGAAAAUUGGUGUGGAAUAUGUCGUUAUGAUUUUGUGUUUGAUGCGUUGAUGAGCCUAUAAUUAAUUUGGGUACUGGUGGCCAAGAGUUUUCUUUACAGUUUAGAGUGGUUCAUCAAGACUUCUAUUUGAAGCUUAUCAAAAACUUUCAUGAUGACAACAAUCUUGUAAUGGAGUUCAAAAUUGGACAUACAAGAAAACAAAUGAUCACAAUCGUUUUGACAGAAGUGGUAGAAACUUAUGCCAAGUUUCAAUUGCAUGAUCCUGGUUUGGUGGAUUUUAAAAAUGCAUCCACCAACAAGAGGUUGAGUGAAAGGAUUGAUUUGUUAAAGGUAUUAAAUACUAAUGCAUUUUAUCCUUAUCAUAAUACUAUAGUUUGAGUUCAAGAGAUGGCCAACCUUUGUAUAUUCUAUGCAAAUGAUCUAUUUGUAAAUUUGAAAAAGAAAACAAAGUAUGACAAGGCAGAAUGACUGUAAUACUUUGUGAUUUGGAAUUAAGUUUUUACAAACAAAACUCGAGGACGAGUUUUCUUCGGGAAAGGUAGAACGAUGCAGGACAUGAAAUAAAAAGAUGCAUUUGGUAUGGAGCACAAUACAUUAUCGAAAGAUAAAUUUAUUUGCUGGAAUAAAGAGGGUGUUUUAACACACAUUGGCAUAUUACUUCCAAGACGUUUUUUUUUUUUUUGCUGAUCAUAAUAUUUUCAUUAUGUGAUUUCAGUUUUCUGUCACUUUAGUUAUGUUCUCUUUUACUUUCUAGAUGUAAAUUACAAAAUGGUUAUAAAACCCACUUCUUACUGGAAGGUGGUGAGAUUUAGACGUUUUGUUAAAUGAAAUAUUUAGUGUUUCUCUAUGCCAUUUUAGUGCUUUUCUUAUGUGAGAUUAUUCAGCUUUGUUCUUCUAAUUGUUUACGUUGUAGGUUGAUACUAGAACUAAAGUUUAACAAGGUUUCCAAUAUUACUGCCCUGAAUACUUAAGAAGACCUAUGUAAUGCAUUCACAGUCAUCAUUAUAUCCUGAAUCUUUCAGCGAAAUUCCCUUGUUAUAACCUCAAUGUAUGCAAAGAAGUUGCCACGGGAUAAAUAUAUGGUAAAAUUAGACAUAACUUUGACAUACUGAAAUAGAAAUGACAAUAUAAAUAUAAUGGAUGGAAACAACAGUUUGUUCCAGAAAGAAUAGAUUGUUCACCUUGUAUUACUCCUCUUGCCAAUAUUCUUCUUGACACGCAACCAACCACUUCUUAACCUUUUCUAGUAUUUCUUUCAUGCUUAAAGCUUCCUCUUGAACCCUACUGAUUUGGAGAUCAAUCUGUUCGAACAGGCAUGCAGGGUCCAAAUUUCUCGCAAAGUGCUAAAACUGCUAAUGAGAGGACAUUUGAAUUUUCUAUGAAUGGUCAAAUGGUAAGACUUUGUUGUUCUAAGGCACCAGUUUCAGUACUGGUCCGAAAGGGCAUGGGUUUGAAUCCCAUUCUUGAUAUAUUUUUCACUUAGUGGGAUAAGGCUUUGUUAUUGCUGUUGGUCAAAUGGUAAGACCUACACAAGAAAUGGCAGUUUUACACAUCAAAAAUAUACAGUCAAUGUGCCAUCACCAAGCUCUCAAUAAAGCUAUCAAGUCUCUUAGUGUGAUAAACGUAACCAUUAAUUGGAUGGCAGCUAUAAAUUGCAGUAAGGAAUAGAUAGACAAUAUGAGGGAUGAAACCAAUAGAAAGAAUUAUCAGACUCUACAGCUUGAAUUGAGGAUUCCAUUGAACAAAAGGUUUCUGUAACCAUGUGAGACCGCUUGCAUAUCUCAUCCAGUUCCAGCUUCUUUUUCUGAAUAAUCUCUUUUAGCUUACUUGAUUUGAGUUACUGCAACUUUGACACUUCUACCUCAACCUGUAGAAGAAAGUCUAUAAAGUUAGCAAAGUAUAUUUGAGAUCAAAUGAGCGCAUAACAAAUAUUUUCGGCUCUAAAAUGGAACUGAAAUUAAAACACUCACAUGAUAUAGAAAUUCUGUAGACAGCACGUCAGGCUCAGUGAUUUCAGAUUCUGAAGCAGCUAUAUGACUAGUUACAUUAUGCAACUUAUUUUGUUCCUCUAUUGGUGUAUCUAUCAGAUUCCACAAUCCCAGCAGAACAAUGGCAUGACCUUGAAGCUGUUACAAAUGUAAUGGUCAUAGAGGCUAAAAAUAAAGUGAUAAUAAAAUUACAUGUUUCGCAACAAGAAAAAUACAACUGCUUUUUCAAUCGUUGUUCCGAGUUUGCCAAGCUAUCAAUUGAAAUACUCCUAAGUACCUCUAUACACUCUUGUUUGAUUUUUAGAAACAUUGCACCCCUUUCGACAUCAGGCGCUCCAACUUCAUACCAUAUUUUCGGAUUUCAGAUAUAUUAAAGUGAUGAAUGACCAAAAAUAAAAACUCUACAAUCCAGAUUACCAUAUAAGUAGAACUAGUUAAAUACCUACAGCUCCUGCAACAAAGAUUUAAACUUUGUUUCCAUAUGCGCAAACUGAUUACUGCCUUGCAGAUUGAAUAUAGUGAGGUACCUACCACUGAAAAUGGCAACAAACUCUGUAACUGUAAGAUUCCCGUGAGAAGAACUCACAGCUAAACUAGCAGAGUUUCAAAUCCUUCAAUUAUGAGAAAGAAAAAAAUGUCAAAACAUACUACAUUCUCAAAAUGUAUGCCUGUUUGGGAUUGUUUCAGCGGCUUUCAAAUGACCAAAAACAAUUUAUAUAACAUUUGACUAACGUGUUCAAAAAUCAAACCCAAAUUGAUCGGUAUGCAUGAAUUUGGGCAUAUUACAUUGUCUUUAGAUUCAAAAACCUACAUGAUUAGAUCAAAUGACAUUUGAAACUAUAGAAAACUAUGAGUAACUCAAACUAAUAAGUACAUUCGACUCCAAUGCAGACUAUUUGGUUUGUUCUAAAGCUUCUUUAGUCCUGUAGGAAUUCUGAGUAAUUAAUUUCUUUGAAAAAAAAUCGUGUAUUGUACAUUAUAUAACAGAUACACUUUUCUUUAGCAAUCUAUCUCAUAUACCAAAAUUUUUCAUUCUAUAUCAUAGUAUAACUCUAAUUACAAUAAUGAAUUAUGAAACUUUACGAUGAACCAUAAAUUAUGAACUUCUAAUCCCUUCCAAAUAGUAAACAAAUAAGCACAAAUGGCAAUAAUCAAAGGCUUCAAAGCACAACAGAACAGAUACUUGUUCCAAUUUUGUAAUUUGGUACCAGGCGGCAGAAUACUCUACAAAUAAAAAUUCAACUUUGCACAGUAGACUAGUCAAAUGAGCUAGUCAAAUAGUCACAAGUUCGUCAGUGAUAUAAAGUGCAAUUGCAAGAACAAAUCCUAAUUGACUAGUAUGUCCAACUAGUCAGAGUCUACCCAGAUCAGUUUCAGAACAGCAAAUCUCAAACUUGAACACAUUCACAUAUUAGUUCAUUAUGCAGACAACAAUGACAAAGCAAUUAUGAAUUAAAGUAUGCUGGAUUGACUAGUCAAGCUCACUAGUCAACUAAGUACAUAUUCGUCAGUUAAUCAAACGCAAAUCUACGAAUCAAACUUAGUUCACUACAAGUUAUUCUAGUCAACAACAAUUCAGUUCAUUGCUCAUAAUAUGCAGCAUAAACUUAGACGCAAACACAUAUCAAUAACAACCCAUAUGAUGCAUGAAACAUAUGCUAGUAAAUAAGAUAUGUGAACAAGUUUAAGAGACAAAGAACACAAGAAUUUUUUCACUGGAAUAACCCAUAUUCGGGUAAAAAAACUGGGGACUCACCACUGAGUCCAAUCCACUGGUACAAAUAAAGUUCUUACAAAGUACCAUGCAAAGCUCAAUUUCUAGACCUAGUCUACAAAGCAUCUUUAACUUUGUGCAACCUUACUUUGCACGAGUUGAGAAUUCUUUCGGUCUUCACAAAGUGGCAGCUCUUCCUAAGCUUUUCACCUUGUGGCACAAAAAUGGAGUUCUCUCUAGUCUUCAUAAGAUGGCAGCUCCUUCUGAACACUUCACUUUGUGGCACCGAGACCAACACCAAAAAAUGCACAUGAUAUGAUAAUGAUGAGAGUGUGCAAUCUGGAUUCAAUGAUUAGUCAGUUUCUCCGGUCAAACAGUUGAAGGAAGAAACUGAUGAAAAUCUAAAAAUGGACCGGUUUAAAGAUUUGAAACUUGAAGAACUUGACCACCAAGUUAAAACAAAAUCAUGAAGACAAUGCUACCCUAAUAUGCAAUGAUUGGGUGUUGGGUGUUUGAUGCAUGAACAUGGUUUUGUUGCUGGGGUUUCAAUGAAGAACACAAGAGGUAACUCAAAACUAAAAACACUAUUUUAAAAAAAAUGUGAACUUCCUACCCAAAACAAAUGAGCAUAUUAAAAAAGAUUUAAGUAAGCAAUUUCAAAGAUAGAUUUAUAAAUAUUCAAUAAAGAACAUUACCCAGAAAAAAAAUGCUUGAUGCUCCUUGGGGAUUUGAGAUGGAGAAGAAAGAAUAAAGCUCUCAAAAUUUUCCUAUCUCAGUCAAGAAACAAAUGAAACCUACAUAAUCAUAAUAAAAGAAAAUGUUUGUUUCAGCAUCCAAUGACACAAAAGACACUUAUCAAAUGUAAAAGCAAUCUGACCAUAUCAAUGGUGAAAAACUCAAUCCCGUAUAAAGGGUGUCAGUCAGCCCAUAUGGGCUGUGUUCAAUUGCGUGCCCAACUAGCUGGAUAACAAUGAGAAAUUCUUACGAGACAAUGUCACUAGUUGAAAUGCAUCAGUAAGUUAAUGUGAAAUGGAUAUGUAUAAACAAACCUUUGAGGUGAAAUGCCACAGCCUUGAACACUUAUUCCUAGUAGCAAGAACCCUUAAGGAAAUAUUCUAAAAACUAAUUGGAGCAUGUGUGACACAAUUACAAUAUUGAUAAGCAAAUCCAAAUACAAAAGUCUGGACUUCACAAAUUUCCGUUCAAUGUUCCCUUUUAUUCCUGCAAAGCUACAUAAUUAUAAAUAAAUGGAAUCAAAUGACAAUAUCACUCCAUAAAAUUAAAUAGAAUUACGAAUAAAUCACUGCAUUGAGUACCUAAAAGUGGAGCAUAAAAAACACUACAUUUUCUAGGUAGAUUUUCCUGGGAAACAAACAAAACGUAAGGAAGAAAACGGACCUUAUCCCUGCAGAGCGUUGCAGGUGAUCGAUAAGAUAAUGACAAAUGCGAAUUAUGAAACCUUAGCGAGUGUAAGUAAAGCGUGAGUCUCUCUCUCUCUCUCUCUCUCUCUCUCUCUCUCUCUCUCUCUCUCUCUCGGUGUAACGUUUAGAUUUUUUUGGUCGAGGGAGCGCGAAGGAAAGAGGAGGGGAGAGUUAUAUUAGGAAAUGUGAAUAAUGUAUGUUUUGAUUAAGACACUGCAUCGUAUGAUUUAUGAUCAGAUGACGUGAUGAAAUAAAGGACGUAUGAUGUGAAAAAGGAAGAAUGUUUUGAAUUUCAAAUUUUGAUAAUUGUGGGACCAUGAUUUUCCAGGGCCUAAGUAAAGCUGAUCUAAAUACUGUUACCGUAAAAGUUCGAUCAUGGACUCACAGCUCCAGGUGGAGCUCUAUCAGACGGAGCAAGGUGCCACCAUCAAUCUACUCUGAAGCACUAGGUGGAAUCCAACCGACUUUGCUGGAUGACCGUGCUUGUUCCGCAAGACAAGCGAUUUGAUCCGGAUAGGACACAAUCAAAUCUUAUAAGUCUUGGAUUCGCUACAACCUAGGGAUAGAUGCGCACCGCAAGUAAUCACACUCCAAAGAGAAUGCAAUAUCUACUUACUAGAUAUCUUCUAGGAUUCUUCCGGUAUAGAACGAGGAUUCAAUCCUAAAAAGGUAUUUGUCCCACGGUACAAAUACACCAAUCUAGGUUCAUCUACGAUAACGCAAUCUAGACACUUGAAUUUUAUUGCCCCGUUUCUUGAGUCUAAAAUUCAUUCACUAGCUUGACCGUCGGAGAGCCUUUGGCCGGCACACUCUCUUGGCCUAAGGUGUGCUUAUAGUUGUUUCAUUGUUUUGUAGAUUGCUCAGGAUUACAUGGAUUUGUGCUCAACCGCUGCUCACGGAAAUACGCGCUCACGGAAAUGCGCAUAUUUGGUUCCAACAGUAAUCAUUCCAUGAAUUUUCUUUUUUCCAAACUAAACGUUCUUGAUUUAAUUAAAGGAGAAACUAAUGAAAAACCUUUAAAAACUUUGUGCUUAAUCAUCAAAACCAAAAUUAUUUGGUAAUACUCAAAAUGUGCAUAAGGAAAAGAUGACAAAGCAGUGCUCUACGGAGACAAUUCCAAAAGGCCAGCAGGAAGUUCACGUGGUCUUCAUGAAAAUAAAUGGUAAAGGACAAAGAAAGGAUAGCCACAAAAUGAAGAAAAGGACAAGCAAAUAAAAACACUGGCACUCAUACUUUUAGAAACUGUGCAACAAAUUCAAAAACAGAAAUUUUUUGAAGGUCACUUUUAGAAACAGUUGUACAUAAUUGUACAACUUUAUAAAAAGCAUUUUUGUAGUUUAGGACCAAUUUGUGUAUAAGAGAGUCUUCCCUCCUUCAUUAUAGACACCUAAACUUUAGACAUACACACCACUCAGUACACCUCAACCCGCAGAGCUUCCGAAGCUUUCCUUUCCCAUUUGUAAACUUCCUUCUUUGUAAGCAUCCUUUGUAAUCAUCUUCUGUAUAUAAAUAAAAGAGCAAGUGUACAUAUUCAAGCAAUCUUUAGUGUUAAGUAAGUUUUUAUUUCUUUCUUUUAGUGUGUUUGUUUAAUCAGACUUUCCAUUACAAAAUAGGGAAACACUAUUGUAUUUAUAUUAUUAGCUUACUAAAUUUAAAAUCAUACUUUGUUCGAGCACUAUGUUAUAGUUGAAUAUUUUCCAUACAAAUAACUGAACAUAACCAGGGUACCUAUGAGUUUUUUGUAUCUUUGAGUUCAACCUUUAAGACUUUAUCCCUGCAUUGUGAGUGCCAUCAUGUUGAAACAUGUCGAGCUUCAUGUGCAAGGUUUUAAGUGUGACAGCCCGUCCCUAAUUUUAAGAAUUUUUAAAGUUUUAAUAAAGGAUUUUACAAAAAUGCCCUUCGAGGCACGCACAUCAUUCGAGGUUAAUCGUUGUGUCGUGCCAUCUAAGAUUUGUUUUCUUGACAUAUCCUCGUAGUACUCGUCGUUACGGACGUGUGGGCGCAGACGGUUCGUGAUUUGGAGUUAUAUCGAAGAAGUUAUUAACGUUUGAAAUUUGGAAUUUUAAGGAAUUAUAAUUUUAGUAAAAUAUAGAAAUUCUUUUAUGAAAUUGGACGGCCCAGAUUUAUUGAUGAAUGAAAUGGAUGGCUGGGAUGAGGGAAAGGUUUUUGGUGUGUGUAUGUGUAUGAGAAGAAGAAACAGAAAACAGAAAAAGAAGAAAGAGACUGGGCAGAAAUGCCCAAUCGGAGAAGAAGAAGGUGAGAGCAAACCAGAAGAAGGGAGAGGAAGAAGCUGACCAAUCAGGGGACGGAAAGGAGGGAAAGGAGGGAAAGGAGGGAGAGUGGUGGCGCGGGGAACAGGAGGAAUGGGUCACCCUUGACCCGCGCGACCCAAGCUUCCAAAUCGGCGGGUUUUUCGCCAUUUCCGUCCAAAUUUCCGACGAAUUGAGUCAAGGUACCACUCCUAAUCAUCAUCUAGGCCUUCCCUCUUUACGUUUCACCCAAGAAUCAUUGAAUUUCGUUGUGAUUUCGCGAAGAACACCCCUACGGGUGCCGCGACCCUUUUGUUUAAAUUCUCCAAAUUUUGAAAUGUUUUCUUUUCAAUUACUAACACCUUUAGCAUUCCUUUAGGACCUAGAACAAAGCCCAAGAGGUAAUUGAGGCGUUGGAACAAGUUUGAAGGUCGAAUUGGAAACACCCAAAUUCUAGGGUUCUUCACGGUUUUGGUGAAAUUGAAGCACUUCCAGGCCAAAUUGGCCUUGGUCUCAGGUAUGAAAGUUGUUUCUACUCAUUGAGAUCUUCAAAUCUGCAAAUUUUGGUAAUUUUUGGAAAUAGUUGAAUUUUCCGGCGAGCCGGGGGCGGCCAACCGCCACCCGCGGCGGCCCGCGCGGCGGCGCGUGGCCAAUGGCCGCCAAUGUCAUUAUUAGCUUGUGAUUAAGGUUCUAGGUUCUGUUUUGAUAAUUGAUGGACGUAAAUUGAAUAAUUGAACCUAAGUUGGUUACGAUUCGGGGUUAGGUGAAAAUGUGAAUUGACGAUCCGACCGUUGGAUCGUCAUCAAACUUUGAUACGUUGUAAUACGUAAUAUUUGAGGAUUAUAGGAACUUACGGAUUGGGAAUCCGAUUUACGGAUAUUCCGGAAUUGGAAUUGUAAGUUCAUAAAAUAGAAUGUUAACCCGUCACUUAGUUUUGGAAAUUGACGGAGAUCCGACCGUUGGAUGGUAACGAAAAUUUUAGGAUGUUGUCCUAGAGGUAUAUUGUGGACCUCUGGAAGUUUCGGAUUUGAAAUCUGAAUUGCAGAUCAUCCGGAUCGAACUACGUAGUGACGUGUCUUAUAUAAGUUAUGUAUUCUAUCGGCAGGAUUUCUGAGGUUGGGUUUGAUUAUUGUUCUAGGCGCUAAUCUUCAUGACGCCUUGAUGUGUGGUGCUAGGGAGUUGUUGAGCGAACUCCAGGUGAGUGGGCAGUUUUUUGUUUUCGUAUUACCUUUAUACUAUAAAUUUUUUCCCAGAAGAUGAAUUUAUACGAAAUUAUGUUUUGAAAAUGCCAUGCAUAGAAUUAUUUGGAAAAGGUGAAUUUCACAUGAGUUAUAUGAUUGAUAUAUGAUGCAUACAUGUUGCAUGGUGCUGUGGAGGCACAGGUAAGUCAGGUGAGUUCAUUAUUCAUUUAAUUGAUUGUUGAUAAGAUGUUUCAAGCUCAUAAACCUGCACCCUAGGUGUUAGUGCUUAUUUUAUUCACCACACCGCACGCUCGCCUUGGAUCCAAGUAGGUGGAUGUCGUACAGACCAUGUGAGGGUUCCGACAUGCUAGUCGUAUAGAUCACUAGGCGUGAUUCCGACUAGUGGGUGAUCUUAGUUAUGCGCGCUGAUGAUUGAUGAGAGAAGCACUAGAGCGUAUUUUUACACCUUUCAUCGUACAGACUACCUUACGUAGUUCCGAGUGAUGUGCAGAGUAGGGCCGUAUAGGUCACUGUGGUGACUCCGGCUUAGUGAGAUAUUGAGCUAUUGAAUUAAUCGUAUAGGACCAACUGCAGGGUCUCCGAUUGAUUCCUUAUUUCACCUGAUUUAUAUUUUGAUUUAUGGCAUGGCAUGUUUUUCUUGAAAAAUGUUAAAGAUUUGGGAUUCAAGUUUUGAGAUUUCAUAUGGUUAUAUAUAUAUAUUUUUCUGAAAAGUGUUAAAGGUUUGAGAUUUGAGAUUUUUGCUUAUAUAUAUGUUUAUAUAUAUGCUAUUUUCUGGGAAAGUAUACAGGUUUUACGGUGAGGGGUUAGAAAUAUUUUAAAUGAAAAGUUUUCGAAAAACUUUGUUUUACUGACCCACUCAAUUUUGUUUUGCGCCCCUCCAGGUUCAAGUUAGCAGAGCUUUGGUGGCCACGAGGAAUCCAACGGUGUUCUGACAGAAUUCACAAAAGUAGGACUCACCCUCGGGUGUGUCAUCUUAGUAAUUGGAAAUUUUUUUUAAAGCUUCUGAACUAUGUAAAUGGUUACGUCACUCUCACGUGACGGCCAGCACGCCCUCCUUCGGGACGGGGUGUGUCAGUUGGUAUCAGAGCCUAGGUUGCAAUUCUGGACAUCUUGAGAAUUUCCUAGUGUCUUCUGUCAGAACUAUACCGCCUCAUAGCGAGCCACGUAGUUCGGAUGAGCCUAAAUUCCCUGAUAUAGUAGUUUGGGGGGAAAUUAUUGUCACUAUGAUUCAGUCUAUUAUCUAAAGGAACCUUUGAGACUGAUUAUAAGUUAAAUUUGAAUACAGACUUGCCUUGUUUCCAUUCGGGAUGUUGUUACUAAUCCGGUCGAGGUGUUAUGUCGUUUUUGGCGGGAUAAUAAGAAGAAGUGACGUUCUUUGGCGACCACAAUCCAUUGUACUUUUUUACCAGGAGUUUACGAGAUGUUGUUGGGCUUUGAGGACUUUGAGAAUAUGAUCAGCGAGAGUAAAGAAGAAUAAGAAAAGAAUGGUAAUUAGAGGAAAGGUGAGAAAGUUAAAGAUCCGUCAUAUCAAGGACGUCGAAAGACUCAGAGCUUCAAAAGAAGUGAAGUUAGAACUAAUUCUUCCAACUGAGGUUUUAGUGCCACUGGUCCGAGGCGAAGUGAUAGAUUUACGGGUGAUCCCAGAUCUUAAAGACAAGGGGUGACUCGAGUAAGGGAAAUGUACCUUUGUGCCAUAGGUAUAAUAUUAGACACUUUGGAGAGUGUGGGAAUCAGUGAAUGUGUUCAUGUGGAUGGAUGGGACAUAGAGGUAUGAAUUGUCCCUGGAAUCAGUUGUUACCCAAUAGUCUUCCUUAACAUAUCACUUGGAAAUAUUGACGAGUAAGUCGUACAGGUCACUAUAUGUGACUCCGACUUAUGUGCUAGCAUGGAUGGUCGAGUUGUAGACUCAGUCGUACAGGUCAUUCUAGCUGACUCCGGCUGAUAUAUUUCUUAUUAUGGUCGAUGUUGCCAAAGAAAGUAAUGUUGGAGCACGAUCGAGGCGUAUUUAUGUAUUUCUAAGGAAGAACAAGAUGAUAAUAUUACACCCCUCAGGAAUUGUUACUUAGUUAUCGAGACAACAGUGAGUUAUUUGUAUUGCGGGCUGCAGACCGUAAUAUUUAUAACUUAUUUGUUGGAUUCGUUAAGUAAGUAAACAAGUAAGGCACUUUAUGUUGAUUUGGUUUAUUAAGGGUGUCCAGUGAUGGUGAAAAAUGUCAUGUCAGUGAAUUUUAUUCCGUUGGAUAUUAUGGAUUUUGAGGUGAUUUUUUUUGGCACCAGUGCGUGCAGUAUAAUUGUGUCAAGCUAGAUUGCUAUGGGGAAUCAGUUAAUUUUUGUUGACCUGGAUGACCAGAGGUUACUUUUAGGGGUAAGUAAAGUGGAGUGAGUUAUGCCAUUAUUCCUGUUGAGAGAGCAAAGAAGAUUGUUAUCAAAAGGCUGCCAAGAUAUUGAGUUCAUAUGGUGCUAAAUGAUGUUGAUCCUAAUAGUAUGGAAGAUGUAAAGAUGGUUAGACAUUUUCUUGGUGUAUUCCCAGAUGACUUACCUAGAUUGCCGCCAGGCAGAGAUGUGGGUUCCAUUAUUGAAUUGUUUUUAGGUACAAAUCCUAUGUUAGAAAUUGGUUCAGGUUGAGUUAAAAGUUCCAUUCAACUUAUUAUAUCACAUUGGAAAAGCUCCGGUUUAUUUGUGAGGAAGAAAGUGGACAUUAAGGCUAGGCAUUGAUAUUAGGUAAUUGAAUCGGGUAACGAUUGAGAGCUGUUAUCCAUUGUUGUGUAUUAAUGAUUAUUUGAUCAGCUCUGAGGCGCCUGGGUACUUUCUGAGACUGACUUGAGGUCUGAAUGAUAUUAGUUGAAGAUUAACAGUGGGGAUGUCCAUAAGACUGAAUCCAGGACUCGUUAUGGUCAUUUCAAGUUGGGAUGCCAUACGGAGUGACGAAUGCACCUACUAUUUUUAUGAGCUUACUGAAGGAAGUAUUCCAGUGAUAUCUAGAUCGGUUUGUUGUUGUUGCCAUUGACGAGAUUGAUAAGAUUAGAGCAGUGCAUGCUAGAUAUUUUAAAGUUGGGUGUUGCAAAGAUUGAAGGAACGUUGAUGUAUGCUAAGUUUAGCAAAUGCUAAUGUUGGAUAAAUUAAUUAUAUCUACUUAAGGUAUUCAAGUGGAUUCUUAAAAGAGUAGCAACGAUUGAGAAUUUGGAACAAUUGCGAACCGUGACUGAGGUUUAGAGUUUUCUCGGAUUAGCAGGAUAUUGUCGAUAGUUCGUCCAAGAUUUUAAUUAUUGCUUCGCCCUUGGCGAGAUUGAUGAGAAAAGAGGUUAAGUUUGAGUGGGAUGAAAAAUUGUGAGUAGAGCUUCAGCAAGUAAAGUAUUCCCUCACUCAUGCAUCUGUUUUCGCACUCCCAAACGAUAGUGGUAAUUACGUAGUCUAUAGUAAUACUUCUUUGAAUGUUCUUGAAUGCGCGUUGAUGCAACAUGGUAGGAUGAUUGCCUAUGCUUCAUGGCCAUUGGGAUCUCAUAAGAUGAAUUACCCUAAUUAUAAUUUGGAAUUAGCAGCUAUCAUCUUUGCUUUGAGAAUUUGGAGACAUUGUCUUUAUGGGAAGAAAAGUGCAUGAUUGUUACAAAUCAAAAGAGUACCCAAUAUCUGUUUAUUCAGAGGUAUCUUAAUCUUAGGCAACAAAGGUGGAAUGAGUUGCUUAGUGAUUAUGAUUGUGUGACGAGGGUGGUCAAGCUAAUGUUGUGGCUGAUGCAUUUAGUAGGAAGACCCCAGUGAGAAUUAAUGCUUGGUAUGCUUGCUAUGUUCAUCUUCUUGUGGAUUUGAAAUCUACUGGAGUAAAGUUGAGUAUCAAAAAUCGAGAAGAAGCCUUACUUGCUAAUUUCUAAGUUGGACCCAUUUGGUAGAUCGUACUCGAUACUCAAGCGUUUGACGAAGAAAUUCAAGAAUUUAUUUAAAGCAAGGAAUAACGGGAUAAAGAAGGACCUUAGAGUUAGAGAAUCAGAUGGCAAGCUUAUGCAAGGGAACAAAGUGUUUAUGCCUAAUGGUGUGGAAUUAAAUAAAGCAAUUUUGACGAUGUACAUUAUUCCACUUCUACAAUGCAUCCCAAAAGUACUAAGAUUUAUCAUACCAUUCGUUCAUGUACUAUUGACGGGUAUGAAAAGAGGAACGGCGAAGUAUGUUAGUAGGCGUAUCAUCAGUCAUCAGGUUAAAGCAGAAAGAAAUAAGUCUUUUGGAAUAAUGUAGUCAUUUCCCAUUCCACGGCGGAAAUGGGAGAAUAUUACUAUGGAUUUCAUGGACAAGCUUCCUCGUAUACCAAAUAGUUAGGUUGGAGUUUGAAUAAUAAUUGAUUGAUUUGUGACGUCAGCGCAUGUUACUUCAGUAUGAGAACAUCAACCUUUCCAGAUAAGCGCAACAGUCAUUUAUUUGUUUUAUGGAAAAAGGAGAUUGGGAUCUGUUAAACUUCUUGGGUAUGUUGGUUCCUUCAGUUUGUUCCCUAGAGUAACGCCAUAAGGCCGUGGAAAGCUAUGUCUUGUGUUUCGAAAUUGUUAGAAUUGGGGACGGAUGAUAUUCAAGACUCUGAGUUUGGUGAAAAUUUAUGGAGGAAUCUUUCAGUGGAAGAAAACUACUUGAAAGUCAAAGAAUCGAAUGAGAGAGAUGUGUGUUUCGGGCUGUUUCAUGGAUAUUGAUGGAUUGUAAAGAUUGUGUAAAUUUCGAGGACGAAAUUUCUGUAAGGUGGGUAGAUUGUGACAGCCCGUCCCUAAUUUUAAGAAUUUUUAAAGUUUUAAUAAAGGAUUUUACAAAAAUGCCCUUCGAGGCACGCACAUCAUUCGAGGUUAAUCGUUGUGUCGUGCCAUCUAAGAUUUGUUUUCUUGACAUAUCCUCGUAGUACUCGUCGUUACGGACGUGUGGGCGCAGACGGUUCGUGAUUUGGAGUUAUAUCGAAGAAGUUAUUAACGUUUGAAAUUUGGAAUUUUAAGGAAUUAUAAUUUUAGUAAAAUAUAGAAAUUCUUUUAUGAAAUUGGACGGCCCAGAUUUAUUGAUGAAUGAAAUGGAUGGCUGGGAUGAGGGAAAGGUUUUUGGUGUGUGUAUGUGUAUGAGAAGAAGAAACAGAAAACAGAAAAGAAGAAGAGACUGGGCAGAAAUGCCCAAUCGGAGAAGAAGAAGGUGAGAGCAAACCAGAAGAAGGGAGAGGAAGAAGCUGACCAAUCAGGGGACGGAAAGGAGGGAAAGGAGGGAAAGGAGGGAGAGUGGUGCGCGGGGGAACAGGAGGAAUGGGUCACCCUUGACCCGCGCGACCCAAGCUUCCAAAUCGGCGGGUUUUCGCCAUUUCCGUCCAAAUUUCCGACGAAUUGAGUCAAGGUACCACUCCUAAUCAUCAUCUAGGCCUUCCCUCUUUACGUUUCACCCCAAGAAUCAUUGAAUUUCGUUGUGAUUUCGCGAAGAACACCCCUACGGGUGCCGCGACCCUUUUGUUUAAAUUCUCCAAAUUUUGAAAUGUUUUCUUUCAAUUACUAACACCUUUAGCAUUCCUUUAGGACCUAGAACAAAGCCCAAGAGGUAAUUGAGGCGUUGGAACAAGUUUGAAGGUCGAAUUGGAAACACCCAAAUUCUAGGGUUCUUCACGGUUUUGGUGAAAUUGAAGCACUUCCAGGCCAAAUUGGCCUUGGUCUCAGGUAUGAAAGUUGUUCUACUCAUUGAGAUCUUCAAAUCUGCAAAUUUUGGUAAUUUUUGGAAAUAGUUGAAUUUUCCGGCGAGCCGGGGCGGCCAACCGCCACCCGCGGCGGCCCGCGCGGCGGCGCGUGGCCAAUGGCCGCCAAUGUCAUUAUUAGCUUGUGAUUAAGGUUCUAGGUUCUGUUUUGAUAAUUGAUGGACGUAAAUUGAAUAAUUGAACCUAAGUUGGUUACGAUUCGGGGUUAGGUGAAAAUGUGAAUUGACGAUCCGACCGUUGGAUCGUCAUCAAACUUUGAUACGUUGUAAUACGUAAUAUUUGAGGAUUAUAGGAACUUACGGAUUGGGAAUCCGAUUUACGGAUAUUCCGGAAUUGGAAUUGUAAGUUCAUAAAAUAGAAUGUUAACCGUCACUUAGUUUUGGAAAUUGACGGAGAUCCGACCGUUGGAUGGUAACGAAAUUUUAGGAUGUUGUCCUAGAGGUAUAUUGUGGACCUCUGGAAGUUUCGGAUUUGAAAUCUGAAUUGCAGAUCAUCCGGAUCGAACUACGUAGUGACGUGUCUUAUAUAAGUUAUGUAUUCUAUCGGCAGGAUUUCUGAGGUUGGGUUUGAUUAUUGUUCUAGGCGCUAAUCUUCAUGACGCCUUGAUGUGUGGUGCUAGGGAGUUGUUGAGCGAACUCCAGGUGAGUGGGCAGUUUUGUUUUCGUAUUACCUUUAUACUAUAAAUUUUUCCCAGAAGAUGAAUUUAUACGAAAUUAUGUUUUGAAAAUGCCAUGCAUAGAAUUAUUUGGAAAAGGUGAAUUUCACAUGAGUUAUAUGAUUGAUAUAUGAUGCAUACAUGUUGCAUGGUGCUGUGGAGGCACAGGUAAGUCAGGUGAGUUCAUUAUUCAUUUAAUUGAUUGUUGAUAAGAUGUUUCAAGCUCAUAACCUGCACCCUAGGUGUUAGUGCUUAUUUUAUUCACCACACCGCACGCUCGCCUUGGAUCCAAGUAGGUGGAUGUCGUACAGACCAUGUGAGGGUUCCGACAUGCUAGUCGUAUAGAUCACUAGGCGUGAUUCCGACUAGUGGGUGAUCUUAGUUAUGCGCGCUGAUGAUUGAUGAGAGAAGCACUAGAGCGUAUUUUUACACCUUUCAUCGUACAGACUACCUUACGUAGUUCCGAGUGAUGUGCAGAGUAGGGCCGUAUAGGUCACUGUGGUGACUCCGGCUUAGUGAGAUAUUGAGCUAUUGAAUUAAUCGUAUAGGACCAACUGCAGGGUCUCCGAUUGAUUCCUUAUUUCACCUGAUUUAUAUUUUGAUUUAUGGCAUGGCAUGUUUUUCUUGAAAAAUGUUAAAGAUUUGGGAUUCAAGUUUUGAGAUUUCAUAUGGUUAUAUAUAUAUAUUUUUCUGAAAAGUGUUAAAGGUUUGAGAUUUGAGAUUUUUGCUUAUAUAUAUGUUUAUAUAUAUGCUAUUUUCUGGGAAAGUAUACAGGUUUUACGGUGAGGGGUUAGAAAUAUUUUAAAUGAAAAGUUUUCGAAAAACUUUGUUUUACUGACCCACUCAAUUUUGUUUUGCGCCCUCCAGGUUCAAGUUAGCAGAGCUUUGGUGGCCACGAGGAAUCCAACGGUGUUCUGACAGAAUUCACAAAAGUAGGACUCACCCUCGGGUGUGUCAUCUUAGUAAUUGGAAAUUUUUUUUAAAGCUUCUGAACUAUGUAAAUGGUUACGUCACUCUCACGUGACGGCCAGCACGCCCUCCUUCGGGACGGGGUGUGUCAUUAAGUCUAGUUGUUAUAAUGCUCAUCCGACUAUUAACUGAGCCUUUGCUUUGAAUUCGGUAUUAAGCCAAGUUUAGCAUUUUAAUAGUAUAAUUAUAAUAAUAAAGUACCUUGAAUAUGGAAGUCAUCAACAACUAAAGCACACACUUGUUUAAUUUGUAUGAACACUGUAUAUUAUUGUUUUUGUAGACCCUGUCAACCACAACCAGUAAGAAUAUAUUAUCCUAGACACCUAACUAUAACUAGCAUAAAAAGAAGAUUAGCCUAUAUUUCUAACUAUAACUAGCAUAACAAGAAU
RNAcentral lists this long non-coding RNA (21175 nucleotides) under Malus domestica (apple). RNAcentral describes it as "long non-coding RNA (MDOM_LNC006805)". The record is from RNAcentral. Lineage: Eukaryota; Viridiplantae; Streptophyta; Magnoliopsida; Rosales; Rosaceae.